RNAcentral lists this ribosomal RNA (800 nucleotides) under uncultured bacterium. RNAcentral describes it as "bacterial SSU rRNA". It matches the Rfam family "Bacterial small subunit ribosomal RNA", at positions 9 to 827 of the family's 1533-position model. The record is from RNAcentral.
GAGUUUGAUCCUGGCUCAGGAUGAACGCUGGCGGCGUGCUUAAUACAUGCAAGUCGAACGGGGAAUGUAGCAAUACGUUCCUAGUGGCGAAUGGGUGCGUAACACGUGGGUGACCUACCCCGAAGUGUGGAAUAACAGAUCGAAAGAUCUGCUAAUACCGCAUGUGGUCUCAAGGGUUAGAGGCCUUGAGUCUAAAGCAGCAAUGCGCUUCGGGAGGGGCCUGCGGUCCAUCAGCUAGUUGGUAGGGUAAUGGCCUACCAAGGCGACGACGGAUAGGGGACCUGAGAGGGUGACCCCCCACACUGGCACUGACACACGGGCCAGACGCCUACGGGUGGCAGCAGUAAGGAAUAUUGGGCAAUGGGCGAAAGCCUGACCCAGCAACGCCGCGUGCGCGAUGAAGGCCUUCGGGUUGUAAAGCGCUUUUCGGGGAGAUGAGGAAGGACAGUAUCCCCGGAAUAAGGUACGGCUAACUACGUGCCAGCAGCCGCGGUAAAACGUAGGUACCGAGCGCUAUCCGGAUUCACUGGGCGUAAAGCGCGUGCAGGUGGUUUGGUAAGUCGGGCAUGAAAACUCUUGGCUCAACUGAGAGACGCUGUCCGAUAUUGCCGGACUUGAGGGCAUAAGAGGGAGGUGGAAUUCCGCAUGUAGUGGUGAAAUGCGUAGAUAUGCGGAGGAACACCAGUGGCGAAGGCGGCCUCCUGGUAUGCUCCUGACACUCAGACGCGAAAGCUAGGGGAGCGAACGGGAUUAGAAACCCCGGUAGUCCUAGCCGUAAACGAUGAUUACUAGGUGUUAGU